AUCAAAUUCAGUUAUGUCUGGC
This 22-nucleotide microRNA is filed under the name Tribolium castaneum (red flour beetle). RNAcentral's name for it is "tca-miR-11630-3p". The record is from miRBase by way of RNAcentral. Lineage: Eukaryota; Metazoa; Arthropoda; Insecta; Coleoptera; Tenebrionidae.